CGACGCUACAAUCAACGACCACUGUGCGUGCGUGUGUGUUAUUGUCGUCGUCUCGUCUUUUCGCUUUACACGGGCGCGGUCUUCCGUGCCACUUUUGGCCGUUUACUUCUUUUCGCCUGUCUCUCCCGUUCGCGGCAACGGCUGCGGUUUGCGUGUUGCUCUCUCUCUCUCUCGCUUCCUCUUCCUCUGCCGCUGCUGCGGUUGCUGUUGUUCUUCUUCGUGCAAGUGGGCGAGUGCUAGUGGAUCAACGCGCAUGUGCAUUGCCCAUGGAUCCCACCCUCUCUCUCUCUUGCCUCCUCUGCAUUUCCCUUCCCUGCCGCCUUUCGCCCACCUCACGCACAUAGACACAGCCGUUGCGGCACUGACUCGCACGUGCGCGCGCACGAGCACUCACACGCCUGCAAGAUGGAGACCUACAAGGAUGUCAUUGUCAGCCAUCCGCCGGCGAUGUACUCGCAGUCAGGGUACACGACACACUUUGCUUUAGAAAACUACAAGGGAAUCUUGCUCUGCCAGCGACCGUCAAACCUCGGCUCGGCGGCUGGGUUCGGCGGCGCCGGCGGUGCCGAUGGCUACGAUCGAGGAAACGCAUCCUCUGCCCCGUUCGUUCCUUCGAAGCCCACUGGCAACCCACUUGGCUACGGACCGUCCAAGGAGAGUCGCGACGCCCGUGCUGAGCAGGAGGCGUUGCGCGUGGCGAACCAGCGGCAGCGCCAAACAAAGUCGUCGCAGGCGCUCUCGCGCCACCGUCGCUGGCUGCGCAGCUUUGCGCGGCAGGUGCAAUCAAUGAAGGAGUCUGACCGGCAGCUCGAGGUGGAGGCGGCGCAGCGAGCCGCCAGGGUGCGAGAGGCAGAGAAGCGCAGGCGUGCUGAGCAGCAGCAGGAGCUGGCCGCGAUCGCCGUUAGCACAGAUAACGCCAGCGCGCCGCCAUACAACAUGCACAAGUCGAUGGAAGCACACGUGGCGACCACGCUCAAGGGCACGGCUGCCCCAGUGGCGCCCUCCUCCCGCAAGCCGAAGUGGGCCUUGACCGAGGAGGAGGCGAUGGACGCCGAGCUCGACUUCGACCGCGACCUCCUCGACUUCGCUGAGAACCUCGACUACGAGAAGUUCAUCUCUGACUUUGAAGUCGCGGAGGCGCUGGGCGUUAUGCGGGAUCGCGUGGAGGAGAUUGCGAGGGCAAACAACUGGUCCGUCGACGACAUCCGCCGCGCAACGACCGACGAUGAUGACGAUCUCAACUCGGUUGUGUCGCCUUCAGAGGCGCAUCUCAUUCUCUGCAGCAAACAGCGGCAGCAGCAAGGUGGUGGUGCUGCCGCUGCGGAGGCUCGAGCCGCGCUCCCGGAGGCGCUGGCGGUGCACGCGCACGACUGGGACAGCAGCAGCAGUGGCCGUGGCCGGCUGCUAAAGAAGGCGAUAAGUCGUGACGCUCUUGCCCUCGCGGAGCGGCUGUUUGCCGCCUCCCCAUCGCUGCAGAAGGUUCACACGCGGCACAGCCUUGCGCGUGCGCUGCAGCGGUGCGCCUUGGAAGGCCACGUCGACGUGACGGAGUCCACGUUGCUGCGGCACGCGUCCAAGCCUAGCGCGGCGAAGGGCGGCGGCGGUGCUAACAGUGAUGCGGCGUCGUCUUCCCCUGCAGCGGUGGACCCUCCGGCGAUUCCGGAGCCCUUAGUCGUUAAGAUAGGCGCGGAUGCGAUGCCUGCGCCUUGCAGCAGUGCCGACGGAUUCACCGGAGGCUCUGCGGCCGGCAUACAGCCGUCACGUAUUCUGCGUGAGCUUCAGCAGUCGAAGGAGCGUACACAAGGACUGCCGUACCUCUACCGCUGUCCCGCCAUCUAGACUACACAUGUACGCAGGCACGAGCUCGUGAGUGGUCUGUGUUGGUUUACGCGAUGACAUCACGUCGAAAUCUUUUUUCACCAUGUAAAUCUUCGCGCAUGUACAAUACUGGAAGAGAGCAUGCUUGUGUGCUUGUGUGUGUGAGAGAGAGAGAGGGUAUGCGUAUGUAGUCAAGCGGUGUGUGCUCGCUGUCAUCGUCGUCGUCGUUUCCUCCUCUUCUUUCUCGAUGGCUCUGUGGACACUCGCUUGGGCACUGCCCUUCCCCAACACACACACACACACAAACUUUUUUAGAGCUGCCGCAGUAAUCAACCACUGCAGCCGCAACAGCAGCGCGUGGCACCGCCUCGGACCUACACGCGGGUGCACAUGCGCAAGCAGCGCUUUCCUUCGUUACUGUGUGUGCGCGUUCCAGUGCGUUCUUGUUCCACCGCGUGUGGCGUUACUUUGCCGCCGUUUGCCAUGGCGCUCUCCACUUGUGCCAUGAAAGUCGUUGCUGCAGCAGUGACGGUGUACCCGACCGGACUUCGAUAACUCCCGGGUAAUCAGUUACGCCUGUGCCUCUUCUCUGAACACACAACACACACACACACACACAUGUGCAUGCGUGCACGCGAAUACGCGCGCUCAGGGCAGGCACGCCUUGCCCACCUGAUAGUCAUCCUUUCUCUAGUUGCGCUUGUGUGUGUGUGAUCACGGUCAAACUGCGUAGAACGCUGCCCUGGGACACACGAACUUAUCGACUCACUCCUCAUGGUUCAUCACUACGAUUGCUACGAAUGCGUUGCCGCACGUCUGCCCCCCCCACCACCACCAACUCUCUUACUUACUCACCUCCAUGCCUAUCACUUCACUGCCCCUCUGCUCUCUCUAUCCGCCGCUUCAUCGACCGUCGUGUGCGCGGGCUGGGGUGGUGGUGAGGCUAG
This 2765-nucleotide unclassified non-coding RNA is filed under the name Leishmania donovani. RNAcentral's name for it is "gene:LdHU3.15.0390(CDS-product:hypothetical_prote in_conserved)". Lineage: Eukaryota; Euglenozoa; Kinetoplastea; Trypanosomatida; Trypanosomatidae. The record is from RNAcentral.